GUUAACUAAAAUAUGCGAUUUCCUUCGAUCUAAUUGCAAAUCCUCCAUCCCUCUCAAAUAUCAGCUGAGAAUGGUCAUUUCAAUUUUUCCCUAAAUAAAGUUCUGAAGUUCGAAGGAUUAAUUUCAUUCAUUCGUUCGUUGUCUCUUCUGAUAUUCUUAUUGGUAUGUUAUUCUUUUAAUUCAUUUUCUGGUUGGUAAUUUUGUCAAAAUGUUUGGUUUUAGGGUAAAAGAUGGUAGCUUUAAGAUAUCUUCUGCUUGUAUGAAAAUUGCCGAUGGGGUUGCCUCAAAUCCAGUAUUAGUAGGAAGAGUACUGGCAUUAUCUCAAAUUUGUGGUCAACACAGGUCAAUCGUCUUUUGACAAAACGAAAAGAAGAUUUUAUGGUGUAGUGAUCCUUCAGCAACAGCUUUAUAAAGUUACAUAUCAUGUUGAUUGUUUGAACUUUGUUACUACGUAGAAGACUUGUUAAACAUGGAGGAUGUAAUAAUGAUAGAAGACGAUGAUAUUGUCAAGGAAGAGCCACAAUCAUUCCCUUCUGAGGGUUUGAAUGUGGAUGGAGGAUUGGUUAAUCAUCCACAGAAUGAAACCAACAUAAACGAAGAAAAUGAUCCGGUCUCGAUGGAAGGAAUCGACUUGACUCAAUGUUUUCAAAUCGAUAAGGAAUUUGACUCACGAGAAGCAAUAAUUAAGUGGUGCCAAGAGGUUGCAGGAAAGAACAAUACAGUACUUGCAACCAUAAAGUCAGUUAAAAAACAAGGGGGAAAGGGUUCUGUGGUUGAGCUUGGAUGCGAAAGAAGUGGUGUCUACAGCAGGAGAAAGAGCAACAUUUCUAAGUCCGGUCAGAAACGAAAAAGAGAAUCUAAAAAGUGUGGUUGUCCUUUGAAAUUGAGAUGUACAUGUAUAGGCGGAAACAAAUGGAAGCUUCGAGUAUGUUGUGGAAAACAUAAUCACGAGGUCGGAAGAACACAAGCAGUGGAUGUACUAAGCAUGGAGGAUGCAGUAAUUAUAGAGGACAAUAAUGCUGUAAAGGAAAAUUUAUCAACAGAAGGUGGUUCUUCAAACGGCUCUUGUAGGGAGGCUAGCAGGUCCCUAAAUGCUAUUAGAGAUUCAGAAUCACGCCCUUCUGAUGAUUUCAAUGUGAAAAAAGGAUCAGUUAGUCAACCCGAGAAAGACACCAGUGUCACGGAGGAAGAGGUUCUCGUCUUUGAGGAAGGGAUCGGCUUGACUCACUGUUGCCAAACUGAUAAGGAUUUGGAUGGGGAAAAAUGUUCAGAUAGUCAUCUACAAAAAGACACCAAUGUCAUGGAGGAAGAUGUUUCCAUCUUCAAGGAAGGGAUCGACUUGACUCCGUGUUUUCAGACUGAUAAGGAAUUUGACACUAGAGAAGCUGUAAUUCAUUGGUGCCAAGAGGUUGCAAGAAGCAACAACACAGGCCUUAUGAUCAGUAAGACACUCAAAAAACCAGGGGGAAAGGGCAGUCUGGUUGAGCUUGGAUGUGUCAGAAGUGGUGCUUACAGGUCCCAUAGGAAAAAAGGUGACAAGGUUUUACGUAAAAGAAAAGUACUCACUAAAAAGUGUCGAUGUCCUUUUAAACUGAGAAGUACAUGUGUGGAAGGAAAUAAAUGGAAACUCCGGGUACGUUGUGGAAGACAUAAUCAUGAGGUGGAAUGCAUACCUCCAGGCCAUUCAUACUUCAGACGGUGGAAAGAAGACGAGGAUCAACUACUGUGUGAAUUGACUGCGAGCGGUCUCCGUCCUCGACAGGUACUUCAUGCAUUGAAAGAGAGGAGCAAAGAAAAUUUCCUGGACAUCAAGACCAUAUACAAUAGAAGAACAAGACUAAAACUACAUGGCACUGGAAGAAGCUCAGUGAUGCAACAGGUCAUGAAGUUGUCAGCUCAAUACCAUUACAUGGAAUGGCACAGGAAAGAUAAAGAGACAUGUGAAUUGAAAGAUAUAAUAUGGGCUCACCCUGAAUCUACAUUGUUGGCUCAGUGUUUCCCUUUUAUGCUGAUGAUUGAUUGCACGUACAAGACCAAUAAGUUUAAGAUUCCGUUCUUUCAUGUAGCUGGGGUUUCUUCUGUUGGAACAUCUUUCACAGUCGCGUACGCCUUUAUCGAGGAGGAGACAGAAGAGCACUUUAGUUGGGCACUGAUGCAAUUGAAAUCUUUAUACUCGCCAAAUAACUUGCCAUCUGUAGUUUUGGUUAAUGGGGAGCUUCCAUUAAUAAAUGCAAUCAGCAUCGUGUUCCCUGGAGCAGAUAAGUUGAUUUGUCCAAAUCAUAUAGCAAAAACUAUUGAAAUCAAUUGCAAGAAUGCAUUUGAGAAUAGUGAAAUGUGGAGUAAUUUCUGUCUGGAUUGGGAGAACGUUUGGAAAGCAGAGACAAAGGAAGACUAUGUGGAUAUGUAUACCGAGUUUGUAACGACAUGGGUGGCAAGGAAUGUCACGUGCAUCACAUAUAUACGUGAUACGUGGUUGGUGCACAAAGAGAGCUUUAUUGUAGCUUGGACCCAGAAGAUUAAACACUUUGGUUACACAGUAAUAAAUAGGGUUGAAAAUGAGCGUGAUCAAUUGAAGAAGUGCAUGGAGUCUUCGGGGCAUAGUUUCUUUCCUUGUUGGGAAACACUGCACAACAUGAUAAACAGUCAGAUUACGCAUAUUAAAACCUCCUUUGAUAGGAGCUUGACUUCUGUUAAUCGUGGACAUCGGUCACCUAUUUUUAGUGAGUUGAGGAACCAGGUAUCUCAGCGUGCUUUGGAACUUUUACAGUUGGAGCUUGACAAAUCAUCGAAUCAAAGCAGUGAUAUGGGCCGCUGCAGGUGUUUAAUUCGUGCUACACAUGGUCUUCCUUGUCCUCACGAAGUAGUGAAGUAUACCCAAGAGGGUAGCCCAAUCCCUCUUUCUGCUAUUGACCCACAGUGGAAGCAACUGUCAAUAGUACCGAGAGUGGAGACAAAUAUUGAUUUUGAUUGGCUACCUGAAGUACAGCUUCUAUGGCAGAGAUGGAUUGAAUCUGAGGAACUUGAACGCUGCUCACUUGCUGAGAAGAUAAAGGAACUUGCAUUGUGUUAGAUCACAUGGUCUUAACAAAAAGUGUGCAUCAUGCUGAUGGUUCUUAAAAUGUUCCCUGAACCAUUGAGCAAGGCUUGGCAUCUGCAGCGCAUGAUAAUGUGCUCUAUGGUGGCUUACACAGUGGUGUUCAUAAUGACGUGUUGAGUUAGAGUUGGAUGUUGGAAGGACAUGUAAUCCUGAACAGUCUAUUUAGGGUUAAUAUUGGAGGAACUAAUGACGCUGCUCCCAAGGAUUUGGAAAUCUCGAGUCCAUGCACUAGACUCCUUUCAAAUUAUAUGGAAUGAUUUCGAUGGCGUUGAAGGGAUAUUAUUGUACUUAUCACUGGGCCUUCCAUUAUAAAUUUAGUGCCUCGAGUACUAUUGGAACAUCAUAUUUAGCCAGAUGUUGGAAAAGGUCCAACUGUGGUGUUGCCCAACUAUAUGAGGAAAGCAUAAAGAUGGAAAAUUUUCGGUCAAGAGAAGCUUAUUUGAUAUUGCCUGCAUCAGUAGCCGCUGGACUGGUCGAGUACACAGGAUUACGAAUAUUUGCCGAGGAUCUUCAACAAUCGUCCAAUGGGUAUGAUAGUUCACAAGGAAAGCUUUAUUUUUCAUGGUUAGAGAAGAUUAGCACUUCAUUUUAAACUGAAAUAGCUACAUAAGAAAAUUGAGCAUGAUCAAUUGCGGAAGCACACAGCACGGUGAUACGACAGAUUUUUAUUUCCUUCUUAGGAGAUAAAGCGUUGAAUUAUAAAGGACUGGAUUGAUAAGAAGGGUGUCUUCAUUAACUCAUUGAGAAGACCUCAGCUUAUGCGAACCAUAAACAUCAGGUACUUGCUUUCCAGGAGUUGACUCUCAGCAAUCCAUGGGAACUUACAUUACUUGAACUUGACCAAUCAGCUUGCGAAGAGUUGAUGAACUAUGUCUCUCAGCAUGCUUUGGGCCUUGUACAAUUUGAAGAUACAAUCAGCAGAUGUAUAGUAGACGAACCAUGUCUGUUGGCAUGCAUGGACCUUGUCCGAUUUGAACUCAACCAUUCGCCAGAAGUAAGUUUUGGAGUAACUUCUAGUAGUUGUCUGCUUGGCUAUACGCAUGGUCUUCUUGUUGCGCGUGAAGUGCAUAAUUAACCUAGGAGGGAAGGCCUUCCCUAUAUCUGCAAUUGAUCAACAAUGGAAGCAAAUCUUGGUAGUGUCAAACUAUCAAUAGUGGAUUAUAAUGUUGAUUUUAAUUGCUGAUUUGAGGACAACUUCUGCAACAAAGGUGGAUGGAAGCGUCAGAAUCUGACUCGAUGCUCUCCGGAAGAGAUGAGAAGAGCAGGGUCAUCUUGAAAUAUUCCGACUUAGAUGAUGGUCACAUAAAAAUAAGAAUUAUCUUUGGGUGAUUCAAAACGCUGUUAACACUCGCAUGAUUCGUGGAGCAAAAGUUCACUUGGGUGAUAAGAGUUCCGGGAGUGUGCAUUAUUGACAACUCGAAGUCUCGAAGACCAAAUCAUACCGUGUCGAGAGAUUGAGUCCAAUUUAUCAUUGAAGUGAAGAUAGGGUGAACAUCCCUUGAUUCUAGGGUGAUUAUCUCCCGAGUUCGCUGGUUCAGUUUUUUUUUCUUGGCACAGCUUUCUGAGUUUGUUUGAAACCCAAAACUCCCUUUGAUCACACAUGAGGUCCCAACCUUAAAGCUUGGCUGCUCUUGGAUUUUCAUCUCUAUUUUAUGAAAACCUUUUGUCACUUUGUCAUAUGAAUUUAACUGAGCCCUAUACGUCCGUCCAUCAACCUUAAGCUCAAAUUCUAGGACUAGACCUAGAAGGCUAUUAAAUCAUUAUGUAUGACACGGUAUGUUUAUGAUUUCAUGAUUUCCUUGUAUUGCUGUAGAUUUAUAAGAACUAUAACACACUGCUGAGAAUUUGGUGGGUGAUAUCAUGGGUUCUGUUCAUUGUUAUAUCUUAGGUUAUAAGAAAUCUAUUUUCAGC
RNA transcript from Papaver somniferum (opium poppy), 5008 nucleotides. RefSeq lists it as uncharacterized. Lineage: Eukaryota; Viridiplantae; Streptophyta; Magnoliopsida; Ranunculales; Papaveraceae. The transcript has 10 exons. The record is from RefSeq and is a predicted model, not a curated record.